UGCUUUGUUGCAGGGCUCUGGUCUUUCUGGUUUUGGGGAUCCUGACUGCUUUUAAGGGCUGGAAGCUGUAAGGGCAGCAUCUCUGUAUGGAGGCUGCUUCCUUUGGGGUGUGGGCUGAGUGUUUGUUUUUGGGAUGGGGUCAUUGAUUUCUUAUGUAUUGCUGGAUUGUAAUUUCACUUUCUGGGGGCUGCUGACCACAUUUAAGGUCUGUCAGCAGAAGGAGCAGCAACUGCACCUGGAGGCUGCUUCCUUCAGAGCGUGGGGUGAACCCUUGAAACGGGGGCUGUGAUCUUUCCUGUUUUUGGGGCAUCCUGACCACAUUUGAGUGCUGGCAGAUGUAAGGGCAGCGUUGAUCUCUGGAGGCUGUCUCCUGUGGAGCAUGGCUCUGGUUCCCAACAGUGUGAUGAAGUGAAGCCCCUGCUCUGCUGAAUACUGGGACUGGCCCAGAGAGGCUCUGAUGGAUGUGGAUUAUCCCAGCUGGAGUACUUGGGACUUCACCUGACUGCCUCGACUUCUCAAAUACCACUGAGAGUGGCUCGGUGACUGCAGCACUGAAUUCCCUCAGAGCUCUGGGACUCGUCUCAUCAGGACCCAAAGACUCCUGGAUGCUCGGGUCCUCAGGUUGUCCAGAACCUGAUCUCUCAUCACA
Long non-coding RNA from Tympanuchus pallidicinctus (lesser prairie-chicken), 649 nucleotides. RefSeq lists it as uncharacterized. The transcript has 4 exons. The record is from RefSeq and is a predicted model, not a curated record. NCBI's taxonomy places the organism in Eukaryota, Metazoa, Chordata, Aves, Galliformes, Phasianidae.